Molecule: ribosomal RNA, 253 nt
Filed under: uncultured bacterium
Lineage: Bacteria
Description: partial 16S ribosomal RNA
Rfam family: Bacterial small subunit ribosomal RNA
Source: RNAcentral
UACAGAGGUCCCAAGCGUUGUUCGGAUUCACUGGGCGUAAAGGGUGCGUAGGUGGUGGGGUAAGUUUGAUGUGAAAGCUCCGAGCUUAACUCGGAAAUGGCAUUGAAUACUAUCCUGCUUGAGGUUUGGAGGGGGGACUGGAAUUCUCGGUGUAGCAGUGAAAUGCGUAGAUAUCAAGAGGAACACCUGAGGCGAAGGCGGGUUGCUAGGCUGACACUGACGCUGAAGCGCGAAAGCUAGGGUAGCAAACGGG